This 345-nucleotide ribosomal RNA is filed under the name Triticum aestivum (bread wheat). Its description in RNAcentral is "partial small subunit ribosomal RNA". The record is from RNAcentral. Lineage: Eukaryota; Viridiplantae; Streptophyta; Magnoliopsida; Poales; Poaceae.
AUGUUCUAUUACGGGCUAGACUUCCAUGAUCUAGCCCCGGACUCCUUUCUCCACAUCUCGGCAUUUAUUGUUGUGUGUGAGGCAUUCCUCUGCAUUACCCCUCACUUCGGCCUGUGGCUCAAGACCUUUGACGUGAAGCCAAAGACAGUCGAAGGGCAGCAUGUAGCGUGUGGAGGCGUAUUAAUAAGCAAGAUCUCUGGAGCUCCAUGGCCAAAGGGUUCCUUUCCAGAGGUGUCCGGAUUAUGGCAACGGGAGUGGUUUUACAUCACGGCUCCCAGAAGUGCCAAGUGGGCAGCUGCCCCUGUUCCACUUGGGCCCUCCACCACAACUGAUGUCAUGGAUUAG